UGGGGAAUAUUGCACAAUGGGCGCAAGCCUGAUGCAGCCAUGCCGCGUGUAUGAAGAAGGCCUUCGGGUUGUAAAGUACUUUCAGCGGGGAGGAAGGGAGUAAAGUUAAUACCUUUGCUCAUUGACGUUACCCGCAGAAGAAGCACCGGCUAACUCCGUGCCAGCAGCCGCGGUAAUACGGAGGGUGCAAGCGUUAAUCGGAAUUACUGGGCGUAAAGCGCACGCAGGCGGUUUGUUAAGUCAGAUGUGAAAUACCCGGGCUCAACCUGGGAACUGCAUCUGAUACUGGCAAGCUUGAGUCUCGUAGAGGGGGGUAGAAUUCCAGGUGUAGCGGUGAAAUGCGUAGAGAUCUGGAGGAAUACCGGUGGCGAAGGCGGCCCCCUGGACGAAGACUGACGCUCAGGUGCGAAAGCGUGGGGAGCAAACA
RNAcentral lists this ribosomal RNA (427 nucleotides) under uncultured bacterium. RNAcentral's name for it is "partial 16S ribosomal RNA". It matches the Rfam family "Bacterial small subunit ribosomal RNA", at positions 355 to 774 of the family's 1533-position model. The record is from RNAcentral.